UUGAGCCCUUGGUGUGUCACCGCAUGUGCUUGGCGUGUUCGGGGUCCCUGCUGUGUCACCGCGUGUGCUUGGUGUGUUAGCACGUGGCUUUGGGGGGUUCCUGUGGCCCUGGGGUGUUCUGGGUCCUCGGCGUGUCACCGCGUGUGCUUGGCGUGUUCUGAGUCCUUGGUGUGUCACCACAUGUUCUUAGUGUGUGUUUGAGUCCUUGGUGUGUCACCGCGUGUGCUUGGUGUGUGUUUGAGUCCUUGGAGUGUCACUGUGUGUUCUUAGUGUGUUCUGAGUCCUUGGUGUGUCACCGCGUGUGCUUGGUGUGUUUUUGGGUCCUUGGUGUGUCACCACGUGUGCUUGGCGUGUGUUUGAGUCCUUGGUGUGUCAGCACAUGUCCUUGGUGUGUCAGCACAUGUGAUUGAUGUGUUCUGGGUCCUUGGUGUGUCACCGCGUGUGCUUGCUGUGUGUUUGAGUCCUCAGUGUGUCACCGCGUGUUCUUAGUGUGUGUUUGAGUCCUUGCUGUGUCACCACAUGUCUUUGGUGUGUCCCUGUGGCCCUGGCGUGUUCUGAGCCCUUGGUGUGUCACUCUGUGUGCUUGGCAUGUUAUCACCUGUGCUUGGUGUGUUCUGGGUCCUUGGUGUGUCACCGCGUGUGCUUGGUGUGUUCUGAGCCCUUGGUGUGUCACCACAUGUCCUUGGGGUGUCAGCACGUGUUCUUAGUGUGUGUUUGAGUCCUUGGUGUGUUCUGGGUCCUUGGUGUGUCACCGCGUGUUCUUAGUGUGUGUUUGAGUCCUUGGUGUGUCACCACAUGUCCUUGGUGUGUCCCUGUGGCCCUGGCGUGUUCUGAGCCCUUGGUGUGCCACUCUGUGUGCUUGGCAUGUUAUCACCUGUGCUUGGUGUGUGUUCUGGGUCCUUGGUGUGUUACCACCUGUGCUUGGUGUGUGUUCUGAGUCCUUGGUGUGUCACCGCGUGUGCUUGGUGUGUUUUUGGGUCCUUGGUGUGUCACUGCGUGUGCUUGGCAUGUUAUCACCUGUGCUUGGUGUGUUCUGGGUCCUUGGUGUGUUACCACCUGUGCUUGGUGUGUUUUUGGGUCCUUGGUGUGUCACCGCGUGUGCUUGGUGUGUGUUUGAGUCCUUGGUGUGUCACCGCGUGUGCUUGGCAUGUCAGCACGUGUGAUUGUUGUGUUCUGAGUCCUUGGUGCAUCAGCAAGUGUGCUUGGCAUGUUCUGGGUCCUUGGUGUGUCACCACAUGUUCUUAGUGUGUUUUUGAGUCCCUGGUGCGUCAGCACGUGUGCUUGGCGUGUUCUGGAUCCUUGACGUGUCAAUACGUGUGAUUGAUGUGUUCUGGGUCCUUGGUGUGUCACCACAUGUUCCUUGGCGUGUCAGCACGUGUGCUUGGCGUGUUCUGAGUCCUUGGGGUGUCACCACAUGUCUUUAGAGUGUCAGCACGUGUGCCUGAAGUGUUAACACGUGUGCUUGGUGUGUUUUGGGUCCUGGGUGUGUCAUCGCAUGUGCUUGGCGUGUUCUGAGUCCUUAGUUUGUCGCCACAUGUGCUUGGCGUGUUCUGAGCCUUCGGUGUGUCACCACAUGUCUUUGGUGUGUUCCUGUGGCCCUGGUGUGUUCUGUGGCCUUGGUGUGUCAGCACAUGUGCUUAGCGUGUUCUGGGUCCCUGGUGUGUCAGCACAUGUGCUUAGCGUGUUAUUACCUGUGUUUGGCGUGUUCCAAAUCCCAGCUGUGUCACCGUGUGUGCUUGGUGUGUUACCACAUGUGCUCAGUGUGUUCUGAGUCCUUUGACACGUCGUCACAUGUCCUUGGCGUGUUCUGAGUCCUUGACGUGUCACCACAUGUCCUUGGCAUGUUCCAAAUCCUGGGUGUGUCACUGCGUGUGCCUGGCAUGUUCCGAGCCCUUGACGUGUCACCACAUGUCCUUGGUGUGUUCUGAGUCCUUUGACACG
This is a long non-coding RNA of Manacus vitellinus (golden-collared manakin), 1941 nucleotides long. The record is from Ensembl. NCBI's taxonomy places the organism in Eukaryota, Metazoa, Chordata, Aves, Passeriformes, Pipridae.